UUUGAGACGACAGAGGCAGAAAACACUAUAUGGAGAUUAUUGAAAAAUAAAGGGUCAGUGCUCUAAAAUGAGUGUCUCUGGGGAGAGAAAGGAGGGGGGCCCUGCCUCUAAAAUGAGUCUCUCUGGGGAGAGAGAGGAGGGGGACAAUGCCUCUAAAAUGAGUCUCUCUGGGGAGAGAGAGGAGGGGGGCCCUGCCUCUAAAAUGAGUCUCUCUGGGGAACAUGACACCAAAACUAAGAGGUUCUGCAGGUGUUCUCAAUCCAGGGUCUGUGGAGGUACUGCAGGGGUUCUCAAACCGGGGUCUGUGGAGAUACUGCAGGGGUUCUCAAUCCGGGGUCUGUGUGGGUUCUGCAGGGGUCCGCGGCACCCUGACUGUACUCGUUGCAAUGUACAAUGUAAGACAUUUGAUAGAAUUUUCACAUGACACGACCACUUUGCCUCUUCUGAAUUAUUGCCUAAUAUAAUAGAAUGCAUCUUUUAGACAAUAUAACCGUUAUAUCUACACUUCUGUUUAACAACUCUAAAUAUCUUUGACAUAGUAGGCAAAGUCCCUGCCAAUAAUGUUGCCUACAACGUUGCAUUCAAUGUUCAUUUUCAUCUAACACAUAUUACGCCCUAGAUUCCUUAAAUUGCCAAAUUUAUAUCAAUGCACAAUUUAGGAUUAUUUUUUAACAACAUGAUGUUGCGCUCCAAAGGGAGAACUUGAAAUAACAUGAUGGAGAUAAUUAAAUAAUCAGAAGAACAACGUGUUUAUUAUUAUACACUCUUAGAACAGAAGGUUCCUUCUAGAACCAAAAAGGCUUCUAUCACUUCCUUAAUAUAUGUGUCAUGUAUUGUCAUGUUAUGUCUUGUUCCUGUUCUUUCUCUUCACUUUGUUUCCCCCUGCUGGUCGUAUUAGGUUACCUUCUCUCCCUUUCCUUCCCCCAGCUGUUCCUCAUCUCCUCUAACUACCUCGUUUACUCUCUCCCACCUGUUCAAAAUUUUUCCCUC
Molecule: long non-coding RNA, 990 nt
Organism: Oncorhynchus nerka (sockeye salmon)
Lineage: Eukaryota; Metazoa; Chordata; Actinopteri; Salmoniformes; Salmonidae
Exons: 3
Source: RefSeq, a predicted model, not a curated record